ACACUCAUAUUUCUUCUCAGAUCGUAUAAAUCUUUCGCCUUUUACUAAAGAUUUCCGUGGGAAGAAAAACAAUGAGUAUCAAUUAAUUUUUUGAUACCCCGUUUGUACGGGGCU
This 114-nucleotide small nuclear RNA is filed under the name Sinocyclocheilus rhinocerous. RNAcentral's name for it is "U5 spliceosomal RNA (ENSSRHG00000041896.1)". It matches the Rfam family "U5 spliceosomal RNA". From Rfam's summary of the family: U5 RNA is a component of both types of known spliceosome. The record is from Rfam by way of RNAcentral. Lineage: Eukaryota; Metazoa; Chordata; Actinopteri; Cypriniformes; Cyprinidae.